RNAcentral lists this transfer RNA (87 nucleotides) under Candidatus Kaiserbacteria bacterium. RNAcentral's name for it is "tRNA-Ser". It matches the Rfam family "tRNA". From Rfam's summary of the family: Transfer RNA (tRNA) molecules are approximately 80 nucleotides in length. Their secondary structure includes four short double-helical elements and three loops (D, anti-codon, and T loops). Further hydrogen bonds mediate the characteristic L-shaped molecular structure. tRNAs have two regions of fundamental functional importance: the anti-codon, which is responsible for specific mRNA codon recognition, and the 3' end, to which the tRNAs corresponding amino acid is attached (by aminoacyl-tRNA synthetases). tRNAs cope with the degeneracy of the genetic code in two manners: having more than one tRNA (with a specific anti-codon) for a particular amino acid; and 'wobble' base-pairing, i.e. permitting non-standard base-pairing at the 3rd anti-codon position. Lineage: Bacteria; Candidatus Kaiseribacteriota. The record is from RNAcentral.
GGAGGGAUGGCAGAGUGGUUGAAUGCAGCGGUCUUGAAAACCGCCAGGUCGGAGACGGCCUCGAGGGUUCGAAUCCCUCUCCCUCCG